Molecule: transfer RNA, 74 nt
Organism: Synechococcus sp. GFB01
Lineage: Bacteria; Bacillati; Cyanobacteriota; Cyanophyceae; Synechococcales; Synechococcaceae
Rfam family: tRNA
About the family: Transfer RNA (tRNA) molecules are approximately 80 nucleotides in length. Their secondary structure includes four short double-helical elements and three loops (D, anti-codon, and T loops).
Source: Rfam
GGCGCAUUAGCUCAGGUGGUUAGAGCGCACCCCUGAUAAGGGUGAGGUCCCUGGUUCAAGUCCAGGAUGGCCCA